AUGCAUAUGGAGAUCCAUGGUGAACCAGUUGUGGAUGUUGCUGUGGCCAUGCAGAAUGCUGCUACUCGGUGCUUGGAGCUUCUUCAAGACACCAUGAGUAUUGGAUUUGAUUGCCCUCAAAUGCAAAAGAUUAAGACCGAGAUGAAGUACCUUUCAAGCAGUGUCGCUGAGAAGAAUCAAAAUAUAAAGGAUCUGAAGACUAAGGUGGAGAAAAAGGACCACCAGGUCAAGGCCCUUGGCAGGGGUUGGGGUUCAUUUGGAGACGAUGUGCUUGGUUUCGCAGGUCGUACUGAUAAAGUGGCUGUCAAUUAG
RNAcentral lists this ribosomal RNA (312 nucleotides) under Triticum aestivum (bread wheat). RNAcentral describes it as "partial small subunit ribosomal RNA". The record is from RNAcentral. Lineage: Eukaryota; Viridiplantae; Streptophyta; Magnoliopsida; Poales; Poaceae.